CAUGGUGACAUGGAGAGUAGAGUUACCUCCAGGGAGGAAGGACUUCAUGUAAGGGGCACAAUGGCUUCUCAUUGGCUUUAUCACAGUACCAGAAUUUUUCCACAUCACAGAACAUAUGUCAGAAAAGUUCAUAACUGGGAGACCCAUUCAUCCCCAUCUUGAUCACUGCAAAGAUGACGGAACCCAAGAAAAAUCAGUCUUGUGUGUCACUCACGUGAAUCUUCAGGAGGUACACAGGGGACACUGCGUGGAGAUUUUCUGGAUGGAUUGGGAGGAAUUGGGUACCACGCAAGAAUACUGAGAAAGGACCAGAGGUUAUGUUUUACCACACACUACACUGGCACUGAAUUCUGGAUGAACAAGGUUUCCUGUGGGUUCAACAUCACUUUGGAAGUAGUAGUCAUGCCUUGUGAAUAGGACUUCAUUCUGAAGAGGUUUGGGACUCUUUAGAAGGUAAUGCCUUUGAAGGCUGAGCCAUGAGACAAGUUGAGUCUUGGGCAUGAAGACCCGUGGCUCCUGCCUAUCCAAGAGAAGAGUUGCUUGAGCCAGACGUGGGAAGCGGAGGAGUGGAGAGCAGGCCACUGCUGGUCAGAGCCAGUCCCAUCACCCAUGACUGCACACAGUUUAUCUCCUUCCCACUCCUGAGGGCAACGGUGUGCAGAAGCAGGUA
This is a long non-coding RNA of Mustela lutreola (European mink), 670 nucleotides long. RefSeq lists it as uncharacterized. The transcript has 4 exons. Lineage: Eukaryota; Metazoa; Chordata; Mammalia; Carnivora; Mustelidae. The record is from RefSeq and is a predicted model, not a curated record.